This 4957-nucleotide long non-coding RNA is filed under the name Triticum aestivum (bread wheat). RNAcentral's name for it is "long non-coding RNA (TAES_LNC021798)". Lineage: Eukaryota; Viridiplantae; Streptophyta; Magnoliopsida; Poales; Poaceae. The record is from RNAcentral.
UAGGCAGGAAAAAGGUAUGUUCUUGGUAAGCUAUAGUAUUCCAUUCUUAAUUUACUCACUUCAAUGCAUAGUUUUGUUAGUUCUUCCAUUAGUUUCUAUUGAAGUAUGCUCAAUGGGAUAGGGUUUAGAAAGUUAUAUGCAUAAUGGGAGAUUACUUGAUUUGCUAAUCCUUAUCUGGUUAGCGAUUCCUCACAAACUCAAGCGAUAAUAUGCACAUGUUUCUUCGUGUCGUACUUUAAUCUAUGCGUGUUGAUUAAGAGAUUCUUGGUCUUCAGUUUUUAUGUACAACUCAAGUGACCAAAUUGUAUUAGAUUCUUUUCCCUCACAAACUGCAGUCUUGGUGCCUUCCUGUUGAAAAAAAAGAAAUGGGGGCAUGGGGCACAUUAUGCAGUCAGAACCUAGCUGUUACUAUACAACCAUGAACAUAAUUCUGGGAGGUAACACGUGGUCGUUCUUAGUAACAGUAUGUUGGAAUUGUAGGAUAUGGCUCUCAUUUUGUUUGGUGUUGGAAUAGUAGGUUGCUCGCGGGUGACUUCUCAGGUGUCACGGCGCUUGCAUUGUAGAUUGGUAGAGGGAAUAUUGAGACAACGAGGAGAGGCGACUUAACUGCAGUCCGCACAACACCAUGAACCAGGUAGUACUAACUUGCCACUGCCACAUUUGCUCACUCAUUUCUUUCUUAUGCAUACAAUUUCCAUUUUUAAAUAUUUUAUUUAGUUUUUUCUCUACUUAUGUUGCAUUUUAUGUAAUGCAUAUGAAACUUUAAUACAUUGACAAGUGUGAACUAUGGUUCUCUGUAGAAUGUGAACUUCUGGACUCCUCUCAUAAUUAUCAACAUUUUCAUAUGUUGUAACCUCUUAUGGGCUGAUAUUCUGCAAACACCAUAGAACUUGAUAGGAUAAAGAUUUAUCACUCGAGUUCAAUCUUCGUGAAAUACUCACUCUGUCUGAAAAUAUUAUGUCUUAUAUUUUGAGAUGGUGGGAGUAUAUGAUAUGUGAGAAUGAGAAAAGAGUCGAACUGACACUACAUGUCCUUGAGAAAAUUGAGAACCUCUACUUGCCAAUUGCUAAAUAAAUCUGUAAAACACUUCCUUCAUCAUUCGGUACAUGUUCCCUGUAGUAGAUUGGAUGGAGAAAAUAUUGCUUUGGAUUUUGUUAUCGAUAUGAAACUUCAAUGCAUUAUCACUUUUCAGAGGUGAAGCAACUUUCGGUAUUUUGUGACAGCACAAUCUGUUCUUCUAUUUCCUAAUCUUGGUUGUUCACUUGCUUUUAGUCACAGGGUAAAGAGGUCAAUCUCUUCCAACACACAAUUGUUGAGGUAUGUAUCAAUGUCUAAAGUUUAAAAAAGAACCAGGUUACACCAUAUGGUUUAGGGCGUGUUCGGCAGUCCACCAGCUCCUGGCUCCUUCAACUCCACGGGUGGGGCUGAGCCGAACGCGCUAACUCCUGGAGUUGUAAACGAGAAGCCAACGAUUUGUGUAGUGCAAAAAACGAGGACUUGUGGAGUCAAGAAAACCAAGCUCCACCGAACAGAGAAGUGAGAGUUCAAGGAUAUUACACCCCCUGCCACCGCCAAGUGACUCGCUGCGAACCGGUACGAGGAAACAACACGAGCGGACAGCCAUAUGAGGCCAGCCUCCGACCAGGCCCAGCCAUUUAGACAGCCCACUAUUCCUUUUCCCAGAUCAAAGCCCAAUAAAGCUAGCCACCGACCAGGCCCAGCCUUUUACAAAGCUCAUGACUAGAAGCUAACGCACCGAACGGAUUGGUCACUCCAGGAUUUGACGCGAGAAGCCGGCUGCUGGCUGGCGGCGAUGGAGUUGGGGAGUUAGCAGCUGUGGUGGACUACCGAACACGCCAUUAGGUUGCUCACCUUGGUUGCUGACCAGGUGUUGAAAAAUCUUAGUGAGAGAGGACAUUGACGGUGCGAGAAUGGAACAUAACGAGUUUGUGUGUGUGUGUGUGUGUGCAUUACCGAAACGUUGCACGACAUGUGAGUCUACAUCUAACUUCCUUUCAGCUUUCUAUUGGAAAUAAUUCUUUAGAAAUUUUCACUUGGACACUUAUCCUCUCUUUGUUUAUCGUUUCAUAGGACUAAGAAAAAGUUCAUCUGUGUGUAACUACCAGGUUCUUGAAGUCCGCCCUCUCAUUGAUUGGAACAGGGUGAAAGUUGUGGAAUUUUUGCUGUGACCGCCUGGACUACGAUGACAGGGCUGACAAAGAUGAAGCCAAGGGAAGCCGUGCCUCUGAUAUUCUAACAUGUGAAAUCCAUAAGACAAUUCUUUCGAGUUGCGACCUACAUUGUGGUGUCUCCGUUCAUCAAUUUCUGAGCACCAGCUCCAGUGAAAUUAGGUGUUCAUCCAUCCAUACUCCUAGGUGGCUUUCUUUGGCCUGCUUCUUAUUGUGUAUUUAGUGGUUAUGCACAAGCCUCAUCAUCUGAUAUUUCUGCAGUAAUUACUGAAAACAAUUUGAGGACAAAGCUUUGAUUGUUGUUGUAGUUGAAGAUUCAGAGUUGAAAGGCAGGCACAGUUAACAGGGAUAAGAAACUAUAGAAGAUUUAUCAACUCAGACAUGGGCUUGGUUAUGCAAUGAUUCAUUGGGAUCUGAGGUAAUCAGACCAUACACCCAAACUUAAAUUUUACUUGCUUUUAAAUGUUUAGGAGACAGAUGAUGUUUGAUAUGCUAGACUGAAGUACACACCUUUUAAUAGUAUAUCACUGAUACUCCAGUCACCAAUAAAAAUGGAAGUGCUGAAAAUUAGUUUGUAAGGAAACAAACUAAAUACUGAGUCCUAGCAAACCUACUGCCUAGAUUACACGAGCUCAUUUUAGCUCUAAGAUUUCUUUUUUAUCUCUUUUACAUUCUGGUAAACAUGUGGGUGAAUAACAGUUAGAAAUUGUUCUAUUUGUACACGGGAAUUCUAAUAGAAUUGAUGCUUGAAAGAAUAAAAACGUCUAUAAUAUUUGUAAGCCAGGCACUGAAAAAGCUCACUCCUCACACCAGAUCACCAUCGCCGACGUAUCUACUUUUCCGAAACAGAGUCCACAUGUUUACUCAUGUUCUCAGUUUUUUGUUGUUUCGGGGAAGGUUUGUUAGAAGCCAAUCUCUUCAGCAAGCCCUGGAGAAAGAGAGCUAGAUAUAGUGGUACUUGCUAGCGUUUUAAUGGACACCUCCUUUUGACCUUUUUUAGUUUCUUGAAUUAGCUAAGAGACUUCAAUGAGUGAGUAUUUUUUGGUCCCUCCCUUUUUCUGUGUCUUUUGGAGUUUUGCAUUGUGGUGAGAGGAGGAUAGAGAUACCCAAUUGCCAUGGGGACCAGAGAUCAGCUGAGGUCACAUAGUUUGUCUCGGCAUUACAAUGUGAGGUAAAGGAAGGAAAUAAAGCGAUGUUAGAAUAUUACAAUCAUAUAUCCAAACAUAUUUUAUGCAGUUGACCAAUGGUGUUGUUUCAUCGAUUUUUACUUCUCUAGAACCACCUGAUUUAUUGGCCCAAUGCCUCGGAACAUGCACAGUGAAGCAAACCAAAUCAAACUGUAGCUGCAUCUACAAAAAAAAAUCAUAUCGCUCUUGAUGUGGCAAGGUUUAUCAAGUUCAAUUACGCAGUACAUCAGGCAAAUCUGCAACCCCACAAACCAUGAAUGAUGCAGCAAAAGUUUGUAAUCCAAAAAUUGAUUGAGAUUUCUUAUUUUAGUUGGUUAGUUGCAUCAGUGACAUAUCUCUAGAGAUGUUGCAUAUUUUUGGACGAUUGUUGGAAAAUACCUUUAUGUUAUACCUUUCUACUAAAAUUUGUAUUAUUUUGCAAAGUAGGCUCUGCGCUAGGUGGGGUUGUCAUCCUCCAUUUUUAUGGCCAUGACAAAUGACAAUAUCAUGAUGCUAUUUAACUUUGACUUUUGUCAACAUAUGUUUUGAUGCUACUUCAAUUCUUUAGCGUAUCGCGAUGAGGCUGAUACUGUUGGUUGUACACUGAAGGUUGAAAAUGUUAACUGUUUUGAAUAGACUAUUUCAAUAUAUUGGCACAGAUUAGCAACAAUACUUACUAUGGUAAUUACAAUGCCAUAGAAUUUUUGAAUUAUUAGAAUAUUUUGCACUAUUGCACAUUAUUUAAUAAUCGGUGCAAUCUAAUGUUAAUCCACCUAAAUUUGUAAUAGCUAAAAUUUCUAACAUGCCUCACGUCUUCAUGUUUCUAGCUUCAAAUCCUUAAAAACAAAUUGUUCUACAACUUUCUAUCUUGCUAGAAUGGACUUGUUACCCAUAUAUGUGUAUCUACCUUAGAGCAAACUUUGCAUACUUAAAAAAUGUACCUUUUGUCCUCAGAAUCUAACUGCAUAUUUUGUUUAUGACGAUAAAUAAUUUCUGCCUGGAGCAGAAGGUUAUAGGGGUGGCCCAGAUAUCAUGGAGACUUGGAGAGGCGCCGUGCUCGGUCCAGUGAGGAGCUCCGGGUCAACACUGUGGCUGCGUGGUGGGCAUGAACCAUGGCGACUGCCUUCCGGCUUUAUUCUGUUGGCUCGUACAUUUUCCGCUGGCUAUUCUUACAGAAUCAUGAAUUAGACUUAGGAGAAUUGGCAUGUCAUCACAUGAAAAAUUUCAACUAUGAGAUGCUACAAGUAAACAUGGUGAAUUCACACUUUUAAACUGCCUGGUGAUUUUUUAAAUCUCAGGCAAUCAGAACAUAUGCAUUUUCUUUGUUUCUCAAUUCAUGUUUUGUCAUGGACUACAUGAGUUUCAUGUAUACCAGAAUGUUUCCAAACCUGUGAUUAACAAGUUCUUUUCCACUUCUAAAUUACAAAUAUCUUAUUGAUGCUACCAUAUUGGUGAGUGUACUUGAUGGCGAUAUUUUUUACCUCUUAAAUGUUGAAAUUUAGUUAAUAUUCCUAUAUGUUGAAAGUAGUAAUAGUCCUUAGUUUUCAUAGUGGUUCAUGAUCUUGGUGGUGCCUUUUUUUCUUUGUUCUACUAACAAAAAAG